UAGCCGUAAACGAUACUCGCUAGGUGUCGGCCACGGUGCGACCGUUGUCGGUGCCGUAGGGAAGCCGUGAAGCGAGCCACCUGGGAAGUACGGCCGCAAGGCUGAAACUUAAAGGAAUUGGCGGGGGAGCACCACAACGGGUGGAGCUUGCGGUUUAAUUGGAUUCAACGCCGGAAAUCUUACCGGGACCGACAGCAACAUGAAGGCCAGGCUGAAGACUUUGCCGGAUUAGCUGAGAGGUGGUGCAUGGCGUAGUCGUG
Molecule: ribosomal RNA, 260 nt
Filed under: uncultured archaeon
Lineage: Archaea
Description: partial 16S ribosomal RNA
Rfam family: Archaeal small subunit ribosomal RNA
Source: RNAcentral